Scylla paramamosain (green mud crab) is the source of this 1560-nucleotide long non-coding RNA. RefSeq lists it as uncharacterized. The transcript has 3 exons. The record is from RefSeq and is a predicted model, not a curated record. NCBI's taxonomy places the organism in Eukaryota, Metazoa, Arthropoda, Malacostraca, Decapoda, Portunidae.
UGGUAACCCGAUUUUCUACGCGCACGCGCACGCAUUAGGAACGUAAGCAAUUUGUGAUCUCGUAGCACGCGCUCUCUCACCAAGUCGACUAACACAAACACACAGUAGCAGGAUUUCUGGCCUUCAGUUAGAGCAAGGACACACACACACACACACACACACACACACACAUGACAGUGAACGGUGUCAGCUGGACAGUGAGGUCAUAAAGCUGUGUGUAGUAUGAAUAGCGCGCAAGGCUUAUCGGUGUGCUUAGGAUGAACAGGUUUUAUGAAGCCUCUGAAGACACGAGCUCGAAUCAGUUGUCUUCGUCAGGCAAAAAAUUUAAUCCCGGAUAUUUCCGUUGUGAGCGUAAAGCACUAACCAUUAUACGCACAUAUGUUUAUGAAAUACUGGACGAAAAACAAAACAAAACAUUGUCUUCACUCGAUCGUGCAUUUAGGAAGGAAAAUGUUUUGAGUUACCUGUACAUAUUCGUUUCCAUGACAGAGUGAAGAACGAGAUGUUAUGGAAAAGAAUGGAAAUGUCAACAAACUUCAAGAUGUCAAUAAGAAGCUUUAUAGGAGCCAAUGAGAAGACUAAAGACAUCAACAUGGCCAACAGGCGCACACGAAGUAACGAGACUUAGAUAACCAGCCACUUGUAGGAAAGUCGUGAGAAAGCGUCGAUAUUUCUUCAAGGUGGAUUACGGAAAAUUAUUAAGAUGGCAUUAUACAGGAAAAACGAGUGGCAUUAAAAGAGAGUGUUAUCUAUGUAUGUGGUAAUUCGCUGUAUCAUUUCUUAAUGUGCGUUUCUCUAUAGCACUUGUGGACAACCUCACUCAGUGAAGGACCCCACUGGAAAUAAGUGACAAUAAUUUUGGGCUGUCUUUGUGAAAGUUAGCUUUGUUUACAUUUUCCUUGUGAAAGUUAGCAUUAUUUACAUUAUCUCUGUGAGACUAUUUGCAUUAUAAGUUCUAUGUGUAUGAAACAAGCUGUGCUAACUCUUGCUAAAUAAAUUCAACCAAUCAAAGAGUCCAUCAGUCAAUCAGUCUUCCUCUACUGCAUCGCACGUACGUCGGGCUGAGAAUUAUCGAAUUGUAUAACCAUUAGUUUGUCUCGUGGCACAGCUGUGUCUUGGUCCUGUUGGGUUUCCCUUGGGUUUGGAAGGCUUCUGUGGCUGUCUUCCGAAACGUCACGGCCUUUGUAACAGUUCAAAAAAUGAGAGAAUGUUGCCCAUGAAGAAAACACGCAUGUGGUCUUGUACUUUCUCCCGUGCUGGACGUCUCACCCAGAACACACAUUGCUCGAGACUGACGCGAUAUGCACCCCUCACCAACAUGGAAGUCAAGGUACGGAGAGAGGGGUGAGUAAGCUUCUACAACAACAUGAUGGACACACAGCGAGAGAGGAAGAAUUACAAUGACAUUGUGAAAGCGACGGACACAAAUCUUCACAUUGCAAAGAUGAUGAAAAUGAAGACAGAUUAUGGAGUGCAUGAUUUCCUAACUGCUAUACAACACUCAAAAAGAAAAGAAAUUGAAAAAAAAAAAAAAAAAAAAAAAAAAAAAAAAAAGUAAAA